CCAAUAGCGUAUAUUAAAGUUGUUGCAGUUAAAAAGCUCGUAGUUGAAUUUCGGGGUUAGUAGGUUGGUCAUGCCUCUGGUAUGUACUGGUCUCACUGAUUCCUCCUUCCUGAUGAACCUUAAUGCCAUUUAUUUGGUGUUUUGGGGAAUUUGGACUGUUACUUUGAAAAAAUUAGAGUGUUUAAAGCAGGCAUUUUGCUUGAAUACAUUAGCAUGGAAUAAUAAAAUAGGACGGCAUGAUUCUAUUUUGUUGGUUUCUAGGAUCACCGUAAUGAUUAAUAGGGAUAGUUGGGGGCAUUAGUAUUCAAUUGUCAGAGGUGAAAUUCUUGGAUUUAUUGAAGACUAACUACUGCGAAAGCAUUUGCCAAGGAUGUUUUCAUUAAUCAAGAACGAAAGUUAGGGGAUCGAAGACGAUCAGAUACCGUCGUAGUCUUAACCAUAAACUAUGCCGACUAGGAAUCAGACGAUGUUAAUUUUUUAAUGACUCGUUUGGCACCUUACGGGAAACCAAAGUGUUUGGNUUC
RNAcentral lists this ribosomal RNA (524 nucleotides) under uncultured Glomus. RNAcentral describes it as "SSU rRNA". It matches the Rfam family "Eukaryotic small subunit ribosomal RNA", at positions 591 to 1114 of the family's 1831-position model. Lineage: Eukaryota; Fungi; Glomeromycota; Glomeromycetes; Glomerales; Glomeraceae. The record is from RNAcentral.